AUUGAACGCUGGCGGCAGGCCUAACACAUGCAAGUCGAGCGGAUGAAGGGAGCUUGCUCCUGGAUUCAGCGGCGGACGGGUGAGUAAUGCCUAGGAAUCUGCCUGGUAGUGGGGGAUAACGUCCGGAAACGGGCGCUAAUACCGCAUACGUCCUGAGGGAGAAAGUGGGGGAUCUUCGGACCUCACGCUAUCAGAUGAGCCUAGGUCGGAUUAGCUAGUUGGUGGGGUAAAGGCCUACCAAGGCGACGAUCCGUAACUGGUCUGAGAGGAUGAUCAGUCACACUAGAACUGAGACACGGCCCAGACUCCUACGGGAGGCAGCAGUGGGGAAUAUUGGACAAUGGGCGAAAGCCUGAUCCAGCCAUGCCGCGUGUGUGAAGAAGGUCUUCGGAUUGUAAAGCACUUUAAGUUGGGAGGAAGGGCAGUAAGUUAAUACCUUGCUGUUUUGACGUUACCAACAGAAUAAGCACCGGCUAACUUCGUG
This 484-nucleotide ribosomal RNA is filed under the name uncultured bacterium. Its description in RNAcentral is "partial 16S ribosomal RNA". It matches the Rfam family "Bacterial small subunit ribosomal RNA", at positions 30 to 507 of the family's 1533-position model. The record is from RNAcentral.